Molecule: ribosomal RNA, 1313 nt
Filed under: Candidatus Phytoplasma pyri
Lineage: Bacteria; Bacillati; Mycoplasmatota; Mollicutes; Acholeplasmatales; Acholeplasmataceae
Description: bacterial SSU rRNA
Rfam family: Bacterial small subunit ribosomal RNA
Source: RNAcentral
GGUAAGGUAACGGCUUACCAAGACCAUGAUGUGUAGCUGGACUGAGAGGUUGAACGGCCACAUUGGGACUGAGAUACGGCCCAAACUCCUACGGGAGGCAGCAGUAAGGAAUUUUCGGCAAUGGAGGAAACUCUGACCGAGCAACGCCGCGUGAACGAUGAAGUAUUUAGGUAUGUAAAGUUCUUUUAUUAAAGAAGAAAAAAUGAUGGAAAAAUCAUUCUGACGGUAUUUAAUGAAUAAGCCCCGGCUAACUAUGUGCCAGCAGCUGCGGUAAUACAUGGGGGGCAAGCGUUAUCCGGAUUUAUUGGGCGUAAAGGGUGCGUAGGCGGUUUAAUAAGUCUAUGGUCUAAGUUCAACGCUUAACGUUGUGAUGCUAUAGAAACUGUUUGACUAGAGUUGGAUAGAGGCAAGUGGAAUUCCAUGUGUAGCGGUAAAAUGCGUAAAGAUAUGGAGGAACACCAGUAGCGAAGGCGGCUUGCUGGGUCUUAACUGACGCUGAGGCACGAAAGCGUGGGGAGCAAACAGGAUUAGAUACCCUGGUAGUCCACGCCGUAAACGAUGAGUACUAAGUGUUGGGUUAAACCAGUGCUGAAGUUAACGCAUUAAGUACUCCGCCUGAGUAGUACGUACGCAAGUAUGAAACUUAAAGGAAUUGACGGGACUCCGCACAAGCGGUGGAUCAUGUUGUUUAAUUCGAAGAUACACGAAAAACCUUACCAGGUCUUGACAUACUCUGCAAAGCUAUAGAAAUAUAGUGGAGGUUAUCAGGGAUACAGGUGGUGCAUGGUUGUCGUCAGCUCGUGUCGUGAGAUGUUGGGUUAAGUCCCGCAACGAGCGCAACCCUUAUCGCUAGUUACCAUCAUUUAGUUGGGCACUUUAGUGAGACUGCCAAUGAUAAAUUGGAGGAAGGUGGGGAUUACGUCAAAUCAUCAUGCCCCUUAUGACCUGGGCUACAAACGUGAUACAAUGGCUGUUACAAAGAGUAGCUGAAGCGUGAGUUUUUAGCAAAUCUCAAAAAAACAGUCUCAGUUCGGAUUGAAGUCUGCAACUCGACUUCAUGAAGUCGGAAUCGCUAGUAAUCGCGAAUCAGCAUGUCGUGGUGAAUACGUUCUCGGGGUUUGUACACACCGCCCGUCAAACCAUGAAAGUUGACAAUACCCGAAACCAGUAGCCUAACUUGCAAAAGAGGGAACUGUCUAAGGUAGGGUUGAUGAUUGGGGUUAAGUCGUAACAAGGUAUCCCUACCGGAAGGUGGGGAUGGAUCACCUCCUUUCUAAGGAAAAUAUCAUCUUCAGUUGUGAAAGACUUAAAAA